This 429-nucleotide ribosomal RNA is filed under the name uncultured bacterium. RNAcentral describes it as "bacterial SSU rRNA". It matches the Rfam family "Bacterial small subunit ribosomal RNA", at positions 355 to 776 of the family's 1533-position model. The record is from RNAcentral.
UGGGGAAUAUUGCACAAUGGGCGCAAGCCUGAUGCAGCCAUACCGCGUGUGUGAAGAAGGCCUUCGGGUUGUAAAGCACUUUCAGCCGUGAGGAAGGCAUUGUACCUAAUACGUGCAGUGUUUGACGUUAGCGGCAGAAGAAGCACCGGCUAACUCCGUGCCAGCAGCCGCGGUAAUACGGAGGGUGCGAGCGUCAAUCGGAAUUACUGGGCGUAAAGCGCAUGCAGGCGGUCUGUUAAGCAAGAUGUGAAAGCCCCGGGCUUAACCUGGGAAAGUCAUUUUGAACUGGCAGGCUAGAGUCUUGUAGAGGGGGGUAGAAUUUCAGGUGUAGCGGUGAAAUGCGUAGAGAUCUGAAGGAAUACCGGUGGCGAAGGCGGCCCCCUGGACAAAGACUGACGCUCAGAUGCGAAAGCGUGGGGAGCAAACAGG